GGUACAAACAAGCCAUACAAACACCCCUAGCAUACACACUCAAACUCCCCUCCAAUCG
RNAcentral lists this small RNA (58 nucleotides) under Ditylum brightwellii. Its description in RNAcentral is "partial transfer-messenger RNA". The record is from RNAcentral. Lineage: Eukaryota; Bacillariophyta; Thalassiosirophyceae; Lithodesmiales; Lithodesmiaceae.